CACGCAGGCGGUCUAUCAAGUCGGAUGUGAAAUCCCCGGGCUCAACCUGGGAACUGCAUUCGAAACUGGCAGGCUAGAGUCUUGUAGAGGGGGGUAGAAUUCCAGGUGUAGCGGUGAAGUGCGUAGAGAUCUGGAGGAAUACCGGUGGCGAAGGCGGCCCCCUGGACAAAGACUGACGCUCAGGUGCGAAAGCGUGGGGAGCAAACA
RNAcentral lists this ribosomal RNA (207 nucleotides) under uncultured bacterium. Its description in RNAcentral is "partial 16S ribosomal RNA". It matches the Rfam family "Bacterial small subunit ribosomal RNA", at positions 568 to 774 of the family's 1533-position model. The record is from RNAcentral.